CCAAUAGCGUAUAUUAAAGUUGUUGCAGUUAAAAAGCUCGUAGUUGAAUUUCGGGGUCAGUAGAUUGGUCGUGCCACUGGUAUGUACUGGUCUCACUGAUUCCUCCUUCCUGAUGAGCUGUAAUGCCAUAAAUUUGGUGUUGCAGGGAAUCUGGACUGUUACUUUGAAAAAAUUAGAGUGUUUAAAGCAGGCUAACGCUUGAAUACAUUAGCAUGGAAUAAUGAAAUAGGACGUUCGAUCCUAUUUUGUUGGUUUCUAGGAUUGACGUAAUGAUUAAUAGGGAUAGUUGGGGGCAUUAGUAUUCAAUUGUCAGAGGUGAAAUUCUUGGAUUUAUUGAAGACUAACUACUGCGAAAGCAUUUGCCAAGGAUGUUUUCAUUAAUCAAGAACGAAAGUUAGGGGAUCGAAGACGAUCAGAUACCGUCGUAGUCUUAACCAUAAACUAUGCCGACUAGGGAUCGGAUGAUGUUAAUUUUUUAAUGACUCAUUCGGCGCCUUACG
RNAcentral lists this ribosomal RNA (500 nucleotides) under uncultured Glomeromycotina. RNAcentral's name for it is "partial small subunit ribosomal RNA". It matches the Rfam family "Eukaryotic small subunit ribosomal RNA", at positions 591 to 1092 of the family's 1831-position model. Lineage: Eukaryota; Fungi; Glomeromycota. The record is from RNAcentral.